GACAGAGGGUGCAAACGUUGCUCGGAAUUACUGGGCGUAAAGCGCGUGUAGGCUGACCGGAAAGUCGGGCGUGAAAGCCCUGGGCUCAACCCAGGAACUGCACUCGAAACUCCCGGUCUAGAGUGGUGGAGAGGGAAGUGGAAUUCCUGGUGUAGAGGUGAAAUUCGUAGAUAUCAGGAGGAACACCAGUGGCGAAGGCGGCUUCCUGGACAACUACUGACGCUGAGACGCGAAAGCGUGGGGAGCAAACAGG
Molecule: ribosomal RNA, 253 nt
Filed under: uncultured bacterium
Lineage: Bacteria
Description: partial 16S ribosomal RNA
Rfam family: Bacterial small subunit ribosomal RNA
Source: RNAcentral